AGAAUUGCUGAGAGGGCCAGCUGGACAGAAGCAGAGUUCAGAUUUUACACAAGUCAGAGGCACUCUUUGGGGUUCAUCUCUGAAGCUAUUUUGCUGGAGAAGAUCAGUGCUUUUCAAGCUAUAAUAAUGUAGACUUUGAAACUGCAUGAGGUGAAAUGAGGUUUUUCACUGAAAAAAAGAUACACGUUCUCAACCAUAGAAAAAUGCUAAGCAUCUACUAAGUGUCCAGCAUGGUGUUACAAACUGUGGAUAUGGAUGGCAACAGGUGUAUCUCUGGCCUUUGGCAGAAUAUGGGGUGGUGGAGGGGAGACCAAAUCACCCCAAGAGUCCUAGAGGCACUUGGUAACAUGGAAUGCAAAGUAAGGCCUACCCGUGAGUCUUAGAGGAAAAAUUCUUGUGAUAUGCCACACCCACAAGUAGGAGGUCCACUCUCACCUCCCAGUAAGCCUAGCAAAUGGGAUUAUUCCCUAGGAAUCAGCCACAGAGGAAGAUCAAUUACCAUCCCUCCAGUCAAGAAGUUUUCCAAGCAUCUUUUUCCUUGGAGCUUUCUAAAAACCACCACCAUCGGCUAUAUGGUCGUAAGAGUUUCCAAACAGAAGUUUCAACGCAAGCUGAGAUUCAUGAUUUUGUGUGACAUAGACACACAGCCUUAGAUUUUACAAUAGGCAUGUGGCCAGGAGACUGGAAGACUAGAUACUUGUGCUGACUCUUCGCUACUUAAUGGAUUUGCCUAUAAACCACAAACGAUUUAAACUGUGUAGUAAGUUUUUCUAUAAUCACAAAUAUGUUUAGAAGAGAAGGAAUGUGGAGGGGUUGCUGGAUAGCUAAAGACAAAAUACAUCAGUGGGGUGAGACUUGAGAUGCUACAUUUAUAAAGGCUUCGCAGGAGAUUCUGACCACAGCCAGAUUGGAAAUCCCUAUCCCUGCUUACUCUCAUACGUCUUUCCAUCAACACCCUUUCUCUGUUUACCCAGUGAGGACCUCGACCACUUUGCAGCUCCUCUGUCCUUGGCAUUGAGCCUCUGUCCUUGGCAUUGAGCCUGCUCCUAUCUUGACCUCCUUAGAGAACCUGUCUCUAGCUAGCCUUAAUCCACCUUGGCGGGGCCCCUUCCCGGUUUGCCUAUUACCUAUCCGAAAAGAAGAUUCUGUUUUUCUGGAAGAAAUCUUAUCAAGAAGUGGAUGUACUAUGCUUACACUCAAUGGUCUAUUUCAAAUGGGGCCAACAACUGCUAAAUUCUACAGAGGAUAUAGGAAUUGCUCCAGCUGGUAUGUGGGAUAUUUGGAACUCAAACCCAGGCCUGUACAAUUCCAAAGCUGGGCUAUUUGCAUUAUGAUUGACAGAUAAAUAUCAAGAUAUCUAUCUAUUCCCAACUGUUAAGGUUAAGAAGGAGCCCCUAUAAAUUCCCCCAGUGGGUAAGCAGGGCGACGUGAAAGAUAUUUAACCACUGCAAUGACAGGAAUUGUGACUGAGCAGAAUGGACACUGGCUGAGAAUAGCUAACUUGUCCUUAGCAUCGUGAGCCCAUUCAGUGUCAGCCCUGCAUAUAAGUAUUUUUGUUUAAACAAGAAAUUAUUAAAUGUGGAUUGGGUGUUGACCCUGCAUAUAAGUACUUUGUCUAAAUAAGAAACUAUAAAAAGUUCAUGUACAUGCAAAAAAAUAUCAUGUGGUAUUAGAACAAUUGAUGGUAUUAAUUUUCCUUUCUUUCAGUCCUUAUUUUUAUUCUGUUAUAAUGUUACAUAAAUCAAUUUUCCGCUUGGCUUUUGAAGUUUCGUGUGUACCUUGGUUGAUUUGAUCAUGUGCCUUGGGAUUCAAGAUCAAAAAAUCAAGGAAGCUAUUUAUCUAAUGAAAUACAAUUUGUCUGUUCCUA
RNAcentral lists this long non-coding RNA (1867 nucleotides) under Sus scrofa (pig). Its description in RNAcentral is "lncRNA (ENSSSCG00025043465.1)". The record is from RNAcentral. Lineage: Eukaryota; Metazoa; Chordata; Mammalia; Artiodactyla; Suidae.